Long non-coding RNA from Serinus canaria (Common canary), 163 nucleotides. RefSeq lists it as uncharacterized. The transcript has 2 exons. Lineage: Eukaryota; Metazoa; Chordata; Aves; Passeriformes; Fringillidae. The record is from RefSeq and is a predicted model, not a curated record.
GUUUCCUCCUGCAGCAGUGUCAUCGCCUCGCAGCAGUCAUUGGUCUGAACUGGCAGGUUCUGCUCUUGUUUCUGGACCUCUGGAGAAGGGUCCUGAACUCUGGAUAUGGAUUAUCCAAUGGUACCCACCUUCCCUUGCAGUCCAGGAAUGAAUGUGUGACAGG